Pelobates cultripes (western spadefoot toad) is the source of this 298-nucleotide non-coding RNA. Lineage: Eukaryota; Metazoa; Chordata; Amphibia; Anura; Pelobatidae. The record is from the annotation of a GenBank genome assembly.
GGAUGACUUCCCAAUUAUCUCCAGGAUAGAAGACUCUGUGGAACUGGUUUUGGGCAGAAAAGCCAUGCUUCAUUUGGUCACAAAGGAUUACGAUCUAUCUUUUGAACCAGUUUGGAUGAUUUUGACGUAUGUUUGUAUUUGGAGUAUGCUGAUUCUGAAAAUGUACGUUUAUGUGAAUGUGAUGCAUACUUCAAGUUAUAAAUAAUGUGGAAAAACUAUUUCUCUGGCUGUGAUAAUUACAUUACCCAUUGUGUAAGGUAAUUGUAUCACAGGCAGAGGGGAUGAUUUUGUGUGGGAG